UACGUAGGGUGCGAGCGUUAAUCGGAAUUACUGGGCGUAAAGCGUGCGUAGGCGGCGCUGUAAGACAGAUGUGAAAUCCCCGGGCUUAACCUGGGAACUGCAUUUGUGACUGCAGUGCUAGAGUGUGUCAGAGGGGGGUGGAAUUCCACGUGUAGCAGUGAAAUGCGUAGAGAUGUGGAGGAACACCGAUGGCGAAGGCAGCCCCCUGGGAUAACACUGACGCUCAGGCACGAAAGCGUGGGGAGCAAACAGGAUUA
Molecule: ribosomal RNA, 257 nt
Filed under: uncultured prokaryote
Description: partial 16S ribosomal RNA
Rfam family: Bacterial small subunit ribosomal RNA
Source: RNAcentral